GCGGCUAUGGUUUAGUGGUAGAACGCGUCCUUGCCAAGGACGAGACGGGGUUUCGAUUACCCCUAGCCGCA
RNAcentral lists this transfer RNA (71 nucleotides) under bacterium. RNAcentral describes it as "tRNA-Gly". It matches the Rfam family "tRNA". Rfam says of the family: Transfer RNA (tRNA) molecules are approximately 80 nucleotides in length. Their secondary structure includes four short double-helical elements and three loops (D, anti-codon, and T loops). The record is from RNAcentral.